Corvus moneduloides (New Caledonian crow) is the source of this 1738-nucleotide long non-coding RNA. The record is from Ensembl. Lineage: Eukaryota; Metazoa; Chordata; Aves; Passeriformes; Corvidae.
CUAGAAUAAAGCCGAUAAGCAAACAAAAAAAAGUGAGCUUUAGACCUGGUAAGAUUUUUAGGUGGCCCAGGGAAUUUUGCUCAUCCCCAAGACAUCGGUGUUUAUAUGAAUAAGGAUCUUCCUGCUCUGUCAUGCGAGCACAAUUUUCCUUCCUUCCCUUUCCCUGGCUCCAUUCUCUCUUUUUCUUUUCCCUUCCAUUGCUCUUAAAUAGCAAAAAUGAGGCUUCUUGCUUUGCAGAGGGCCUACUGAGCCAUGCAGGCCACCGCAGUGGAUUCUUCCCAGCCAGCUUUGCCAAGCAGGCUUCUGGACUGUGACUCGUUUUUCCCCAAAUCACUGCUCCUCCUGGCAGACCAGCCAGUCCCUCCCACACUCCUGCCUGGGCACAAAUGCAGGUCCCUGCCUGGCACAGCCAUUCAUCUUCUGAAGGACAUGAAAGAUGCCUCACUGACACCUGUUUUUCUUCUCUCACCUCCCCAUCCCUCAUUCCAGCCAUCCACACCGAACUCCCAGGAGGACCUCCAUUGUCCCUGGUCUCCUGGUGGACACCGAGGAGUGCAAGACAGCUGAAGGAACUUCAUUACAUAUUUGGAGGAUGCACUAAUUCCAAUGUCACCGUUAAAUUCCUUCUGUCUAAUACUUUUUCCUGAACUGAAUACUUCAUUCUUCUUCAAGGACCAGCUUUAACGUAUGCAGGGCCCUGUGUGAAAUCAACACAGCAUAAUCACAGAGGAAAAUUAUACAGAGGGGAGUAUUGGAAGCUGGAAUUAUGAAAACUAUAUAUAAAAAAAUCCAGACCCAUGCUGACUCCUUUCUACUUCCAGCCAUUUAUCUAGACCUUGGCUAGCAGCACAAAUAAAGAGCAAAUUAGUUGGAUUUGCACCAUUACAAAGUAAUCUUAAAAGAAUUUAUUUUACAGCUCUCUAAUCAUUCCCUAAUCAUUAGUAGCUCAGUCUACAACCAGAUUGUGCAAUGUGCUUUCACGUGGGUUUGAAAUUUAAAACAGGUAGAAUGAUCUUUCACACUAAAACUGCUUCCAGAAGCUGGUGAUGGCCUAAAGUGAGGUGUUUUAGGGGGAAGGAUAGCAUCCUUAAACCUGUUUUACCUUGUCUCUCACCUCUCAGUGAAUCAGGACACAGGAAAAUCUUUCUCUAUGUUUUCCCUAAAGCCAAGUACCCUGAUUUAGACCAUUUUUGGACCAGGGACUAAAAUGCUGUCACUGUCCAAAGCAAUGGCAAAACUCAGAAAAGUCAAUCUCCAAAUGAUGUCUACAGUUUUGAAAGGAAAAAAAUAAGACUAAGACAGAGGGAAAGCCAAAGGACUACCUGUGAUGUUCAAGAAUAAAGCAGCUGCAGACUGGAAACAAAAGCCCCUUUAAAUGAAAGCUGGAGUCCCCAAAAUCUAAGGCAUCCUGCUUAAUGAGGCUCUUCUGCAAAACACAGGUAACAAAUGAUAUGGUGAGGCAGCUCCUGGGGUUUAUUUUCUUGUUUAUUUGUCUGUUUCUGAGCAGCCAAAGAAAACUUCUCCAGGGACAUGUUUGAUUUCUCUCUGCAGUCUGGGCUGGAAUAUUGAUCCUGGAGAAGAGAUGGGUGUUUUGUGUCUGUGUGUUGGAGAAGAGAUGUGAGUUUUGCGUAUAUGAGCUUUGUGUAUGAGAGUAUGUGCAAGCUUGUAGGAAUGCAGAAACGGUGAGAAGGCUUGGAAUUCACCUGACAGCCUGUCCUGGGGUGACUGUAUGAUACUG